AAGGAUUUUAAGAACUCUAUCUCAGGAUAAAGACCUGAGGGUCACAAGAUGUACAUUGCUGGCCUCAGCUGGAUUUUCCCAGGGUCAGGUGCCCAUUCCUACCUAAUCAAAGGACACUUCUGCUGACCUGCACCUAGAAUACCCUGUUCUGUGCUGAUGACUCAGAUGUAAGAAUGAUGAAGUGCAUCGGCUGGCAUGCAGAGAACAAUAAGAAAAAGAACUGAGUUGUGGGAAGACAUGAGGAAAGGACAUGAGGCUCUUAAUAACAGCUGCCAAGUACUGCAGUCGGGAAUCUGGAGCAAAGUGAUUCAAUUCUGACCACUGCCUGUGAGUAAAUGGGAUUUUAUUUUUCAAUACUUUUGUUUAAUAGUACCUCCUUCAUUACAUGUGAACAGCACUCCAGGACAGUAAAUCAUGAAAUGGGAAUAAAGCCUGUAAUUUUAAUUAACAUAUUUUAAAAUGUUUCUAAUUUGUAUGCAUUUGAUCAAAUUUUCAUUUGCAUUGAGCUAUUUUUUUUCUUUCUCAUGUAAUGUUUGACAUUACCAUUUCUUUCUUUAAUGAAAUACUAAUAUUUAAUAAAAUAUAUUACAUCCUUAA
This 597-nucleotide long non-coding RNA is filed under the name Homo sapiens (human). RNAcentral's name for it is "non-protein coding LINC01445:10". The record is from RNAcentral. Lineage: Eukaryota; Metazoa; Chordata; Mammalia; Primates; Hominidae.